UACGGAAGGCAGCAGUGGGGAAUAUUGCACAAUGGGCGAAAGCCUGAUGCAGCUAUGCCGCGUGUAUGAAGAAGGCCUUAGGGUUGUAAAGUACUUUCAUCGGGGAGGAAAAACAAAACUAAUAAUUUUAUUUCUUGACGUUACCCGAAAAAGAAGCACCGGCUAACUCCGUGCCAGCAGCCGCGGUAAUACGGAGGGUGCUAGCGUUAAUCAGAAUUACUGGGCGUAAAGAGCACGUAGGUGGUUUUUUUAAAGUCAGAUGUGAAAUCCCUGGGCUUAACCUAGGAACUGCAUUUUGAAACUGAAAUACUAGAGUAUCGUAGAGGGAGGUAGAAUUCUAGGUGUAGCGGUGAAAUGCGUAGAUAUCUGGAGGAAUACCUGUGGCGAAAGCGGCCUCCUAAACGAAUACUGACACUGAGGGUGCGAAAAGCGUGGGGAGCAAAACAGGGAUUAGAUACC
This 459-nucleotide ribosomal RNA is filed under the name uncultured bacterium. RNAcentral's name for it is "bacterial SSU rRNA". It matches the Rfam family "Bacterial small subunit ribosomal RNA", at positions 340 to 786 of the family's 1533-position model. The record is from RNAcentral.